This 274-nucleotide ribosomal RNA is filed under the name uncultured bacterium. RNAcentral's name for it is "partial 16S ribosomal RNA". It matches the Rfam family "Bacterial small subunit ribosomal RNA", at positions 523 to 796 of the family's 1533-position model. The record is from RNAcentral.
AUACGGAGGGUGCGAGCGUUAAUCGGAAUUACUGGGCGUAAAGGGUGCGUAGGCGGCUUGAUAAGUCGGAUGUGAAAGCCCCGGGCUUAACCUGGGAAUUGCAUUCGAUACUGUCAGGCUAGAGUAUGCCAGAGGUUGGCGGAAUUCCUGGUGUAGCGGUGAAAUGCGUAGAUAUCAGGAGGAACACCAGUGGCGAAGGCGGCUAACUGGGGCAAUACUGACGCUGAGGCACGAAAGCGUGGGGAGCAAACAGAAUUAGAAACCCUAGUAGUCC